RNAcentral lists this ribosomal RNA (253 nucleotides) under uncultured bacterium. RNAcentral's name for it is "partial 16S ribosomal RNA". It matches the Rfam family "Bacterial small subunit ribosomal RNA", at positions 524 to 776 of the family's 1533-position model. The record is from RNAcentral.
UACGAAGGGGGCUAGCGUUGUUCGGAAUUACUGGGCGUAAAGCGCGCGCAGGCGGCUAUCCAAGUCAGUGGUGAAAGCCCGGAGCUCAACCCCGGAACUGCCAUUGAAACUGUUUAGCUUGAGGAUGAGAGAGGUGAGUGGAAUUCCCAGUGUAGAGGUGAAAUUCGUAGAUAUUGGGAAGAACACCGGUGGCGAAGGCGGCUCACUGGCUCAUUACUGACGCUCAGGCGCGAUAGCGUGGGGAUCAAACAGG